UGUUUUGUUUUGUUUUAAUUUUAGAAAGAAAGUGCAAGGAAGGGAGAGAGAGAGAGAGAGAGAGAGAGAGAGAGAGAGAGAGAGACUCCCAAGCAGGAUCCACACUCAGCACAGAGCCCGAUGCAGGGCUCAAUCCAAUGACCCUGAGAUCAUGACCUGAGCCGAAAUCAAGAGUCAGAUGCCCAACCAAAUGAGCCGCCCAAGCGCCCCUCUUCUGCAUUUCUGUUUACAUGCACGGACUGUGGAAGCUCAUGGUGCACUUAAGCUUUGUAACCUAACUCAAAAAGAGGUGCAGUAUAAGAAAUGUGCUGAAUCUAUGUGUAGCCAACUGCCAUCUACACAAGCACAUAGAUCUUACACAGACUUGGAGACCUGGCCGAUUAUAAAUGAAGCAGGGAAAAAAUCUUUCAGAACCAGUAGGACUCGGCAAAGAAUGACUUAAAAAAAAAAAGAAUGCUCAGGGGGCGCCAGGGUGGCUCAGUCAGUUGAGCAGCCGGCUUCGGCUCAGGUCCUGAUCUCACAGUUCGUGGGUUCGAGUCCCACGUCAGGCUUUGUGCUGACAGCUCAGAGCCUGGAGCCUGCUUCAGAUUCUGGGCCUCCUUCUCUCUCUGCCCCUCCCCUGGCUCACACUCUGUGUCUCUCUGUCUCUCAAUAAUAAAUAAGCAUUAAAAAAAAAAAGAAUGAUGACUUAGGAGUUCCACCUUUGGUGCUCUGCUUAGCAGAGGCUAACAGUUCGAACUUUCCCUUUUGAGAAGAAAGUCAGCUCAGAACAAGCUCUCACCAUCUCUUCUCCAUCAUUUUUCCCUUUUGAGAUCAACACACACACACACACACCCCUCUUUUCUGACCUCUGAGCGGAGUUUGGGGUUAUUUUGAUUACAUAAUAAAAUUCCGCUCAUUUUGAACAUUGGCGUAGUUCGCUUCAGAGGUGUAGCCUUCGAAAGGGCAGGGCCUUUUCGUACAUUCGUCUUCAGAUUGCUUCUACAUCCUGUUUCACGUGUGGUUACAUCAGCUGAUGAGUCGUGAUGUUUUGCUAUUUCAAAUGACAGAAAUAGAGACUCAACCACACAGAGGGAGCCUUUCGAAUGUUUACCAAACGUGGCUCAAAAACAUGCUUUUCUCUGGUUCAGACGCUUUUUAUGAAAGAGGCGUGUGAGGCUGUGCGUGAGGACAGCUGUCUACGGAAGGCAGGUGGGAUCGACGGGUUUCAUGGACUUGGCUGCAAUGCACAGGUCUCAACACUACAAACUGCCCUGUCUCAUAAAGCCCUGCCCAUCGCAAUGUUGGUUACAAAAAAGUGGCAGGACUUAGAACAUAAAAGGCCCCUUUUUCUGGUCUGUCCAUCACUUUGAAUGCUUCAUCAUAAGUUCAGGGGUCAGCUGACCUGCAGAAUAAGAGGCCAGAAGCUGUGGCUGGUUGAAACACAGCUGAAGUAGCAAUUUUAAACAUUUUAUAUUAGAGCGCGCGAGUGGGGGAGAGGGGCAGAGGGAGAGAGAAUCUCAAGCAGGUUCCAUGCUCAGCGUGGAGCCCAACGCGGGGCUUGAUCCCACGAUCCUGGGAUCGUGACCUGAGCCGAAAUCAAGAGUCAGACAACCUAACAGAGCCACCCAGGCGCCCCGGAAGUGGAAAGAUUUUUUAAAUAACGGGAAAAUAUUUCUCAAGAUAAUGUCGCUUAAGUACAACAGCAUAAAUACUUCCUAUUUUGCAACACUGGUUCUUGGUCUCUCCCACUUCAGUCUGAAUUAAGGAAAACAACUCUAGUCAGAGAACCACUGAGUCUUUAAAUUGUUUUGUUUCUAGAAACUAAGAGCACAUACCGAAGCUUUACUUGGCCAAUCUGAUACAUCCUGAACCAGCGCGGAAGCUACUCUUUCUGACGGAAUCAGCCACCCGGGGACAUUUCCAAAGCCAAACCACCCGCCAGGGCUAACACACAAACAAGACGAGCCCAACACAGGCAGCGAGGGGCCGGGCCCGGCUUGCACCCAGUGAUGUCAAGCAAUAGCCUCUCGUGCCCAAAUUAAGAAUCCCAAACAGGUGAGGGGUUCUGGCCACUGAGCAGACCUGUCAGCACAUCCUGAGCCUCACGGCCGACAGGUCCAACCCUAUCAUGACCUCCCCGGAGCCAGCCUCACCUGGUCCUUGGUGCUCAGUUCCUGGGCAUCUGAUGUCCAGUGCCACCAAGCUCCAAGCGGAACAGAGCACACGACACCUGCAUGUUUAGAAUGACCCGGCAUAUGACCCUCAAAAAAGCAGGGAGGCCACAAAAGGAGCUGCUCUGACCUGGGUUUGCACAGAGAAAACCCUCAGUAUAAAAAGACUGCACUGAAUUGCCCUAACUCACUUCUCAGCAUUCACGUUAAAAAAGGCUUUAGAUUGUAUGUUUUCUACAAGUCACCCAACACGGAGAAAGUCACGGCAGGUCUUUUCAUGGUCCUCGACAUGGGACCUGAGCAACUUGCAAUAAAAAAGAAACCUGCGUUGGGGAACUCUUUUUUGGACGGCAGAGUCAAAUGUGUUCCCUCCUUACUCUAAAAAGCAGGAAGGAGAAGUGUCUUCUUUCUGGUUUGACCACCUUUCCUGUCUCUGUGGGUCAGCACAGAGCCAGGAAGCUGCAAGCAUCAGGGUUUGCCUUACAAGUUUAAGUGCGUGUGUUAGGCCGCGAAUUAAGCAGCCCGAGUGAAGGAACCAUGUGAGGGAUGGUGUGCUUCCAGACAGCAGUUUUUGGACACAUCUUGCACAAUCUCUGUCAUCGUGAUCUGGGUUUGGGGCAUCAUCCCGUGUUCUCUGAGAUGGAAAUGGCCCAUUUAUGGCCGUGAAUGUUCAUCACCGACGAAAUCUCUAAAGUUCUAAAUGACACGUUCUAGGUGCUUAACGAAGGGUCUCUAGCUGAUCUUUCCCCGACUUAGAAGAGGUGGCUUUUUCAAUUUGAUUUUUAAGCUCCAGGCCCACAAGCAUGAAAUAGUCACACGUGUUAAAAAAUACUGCUGUUUAAUUUUCUAGUCACGUACUUUUAAAAAGCUGAUACAAUUAGACGUUUCCCCCGUCUUCUCAGAUCUGCCCCUGAAACCACCCAAAGGCUGUGCAUCUUAAUUUCCAGCGCUCAUAUAUAUGGAGGAAAAGUCGCUCGGGGGAAGCACAUGAAGAUUUGUCCCCAUGGUGGGCACACCCAAGGGUCACUUGUCCAGAAACGUGAAUGCAACCCUGCGAUGGUCAUGGCUGACUUGCCCUUACAUUCUUUCUUUUCUUUUCUUUUCUUUUUUAAUGAGGAACAAUAUGAUUACACAGCACUGAAAACAAUAAACACAAAAGGCUCACCUUUUUCCUUUUUUGCCCUUCCGGCAAAGUAUUCCAUUCUCACUACUGUCUAUGCCAGCUGAUCCCAGUUACACCCGCCACCCACCCAGAAUUAAAAAUAGUUCUCUUGUCAUCUACUGAUCCUCACAUUUAUAUACAAGUGACUCUGUAAAACUGUAAGAAGAUACAAUACAAUACGUUUCAACUGCAGGUACGUGGAGCACACAAGCAAUCACCGUAUUGUAUUAGAGACGUUUUAUUGAAAAUGCGAAAAUAGGAAAUGUAUUAUAGCCUAAAAUAAAUUACAUAACAUAUACAGUAUAUAUUUAUAUCUUUAAAAUAUUUUUGUGUUUAGGUUCUUUCAGUCUAGAAUUUUGACUAAAUCAAGAAUUUAGUGAACUGUGUCCAUAAUUUUUUAAAGAAAAAACCCGCUUUCCAAAACUUAGAAAAAUAUACUGCA
Molecule: long non-coding RNA, 3757 nt
Organism: Acinonyx jubatus (cheetah)
Lineage: Eukaryota; Metazoa; Chordata; Mammalia; Carnivora; Felidae
Exons: 2
Source: RefSeq, a predicted model, not a curated record